GAUGAACGCUGGCUACAGGCUUAACACAUGCAAGUCGAAGGGAAACGGCCCUUUGUGCUUGCACUGAAUGGAAGCCGACCAGUAACCCGGUGAUUAACGCCUAUCCACCCCUGCCGAUACUCCGGGAACACCUGCUGAUAGCCAGUCUAAUACCUCACGUCCUUCGAUGACUGCGUCAGAUUCGACGGAAUGAUACGGCGGCACCGGUGGGGGAUGCGUCUGUUUAGUUAUUUGGCGGGGCGACGGCGACCCGAGGCGACGAUCAGUAGGGGUUCUGAGAGGAAGGUCCCCCACAUUGGAACUGAGACACGGUCCAAACGCCUACGGGAGGCAGCAGUGAGGAAUAUUGGUCAAUGGGCGGAAGCCUGAACCAGCCAAGUAGCGUGCAGGAUGACGGCCCUACGGGUUGUAAACUGCUUUUAUGCGGGGAUAAAGUGAGGGACGCGUCCCUUUUUGCAGGUACCGGAUGAAUAAGGACCGGCUAAUUCCGUG
This 492-nucleotide ribosomal RNA is filed under the name uncultured bacterium. Its description in RNAcentral is "partial 16S ribosomal RNA". It matches the Rfam family "Bacterial small subunit ribosomal RNA", at positions 28 to 507 of the family's 1533-position model. The record is from RNAcentral.